UGGGGAAUGGUGUAACGGCAGCACCUGCGACUCUGACUCGCAUAGUCUUGGUUCAAAUCCAGGUUCCCCAGCCA
This 74-nucleotide transfer RNA is filed under the name Clostridiales bacterium. RNAcentral describes it as "tRNA-Gln". It matches the Rfam family "tRNA". Rfam says of the family: Transfer RNA (tRNA) molecules are approximately 80 nucleotides in length. RNAcentral also lists the same sequence under 1 other name. The record is from RNAcentral. Lineage: Bacteria; Bacillati; Bacillota; Clostridia; Eubacteriales.